This is a long non-coding RNA of Scomber scombrus (Atlantic mackerel), 298 nucleotides long. RefSeq lists it as uncharacterized. NCBI's taxonomy places the organism in Eukaryota, Metazoa, Chordata, Actinopteri, Scombriformes, Scombridae. The record is from RefSeq and is a predicted model, not a curated record. The transcript has 3 exons.
CCCAAGUUCCUGCCUCCAACCCCAGCCAACAGAGCUCAACUGUACGCCCCUGUUAGUCAGACCCUAGAAAUCAACAUCAGUGCAGUAGCAAAUAUCGCCAAUAUUUCUGAGCUGCAGUUCAGUGGGCCACACAACAUAAUUGAGACUACAGCGGGAGAAGGACAGUUCAUUCUGAGAUGGACGCCAUCUGAAAGUGAAAAUGGAGAGAGCCACCCCAUUUGUUUUGUCGUCCAGGCAGAGUUGAAUUCAGCCAAAUAUCACUCUGAGUUUCGAUGUGUUAUUGUGACUGUUGGAAAUG